UAUGGCACUCUUUGAAGCCAGGAAACUGGUAGAUUCUUCCGCUUUUCUAGAAUUCGUUGUGCUCUGUGGAUUUGAAAACACAUAUAUUAAUAUCCAGGAAAGUGUUUUUAUACCUUUUAAGCUUGUAUUAAUUUCUAUUUCAAGUUCUCAUUAUACUUACAUUAAUUUGCAGUGAUUCUCGAUUCCAAAUUUGCGUAGAUUUACUAACAUAUAUAUGGGUUCAAAUUCCAAAUAUUUAUCUUAAUCAAUUCCUCUCACAGUAUGACCAAAAUUUUCCAGAAGACAAAAAUGCACAAGUGUGUAGGGAACCAUAAACUGUUAGUUGAAUAUACAAGUAGUUAUAUCAUUUACUCUUUACUAGGAUAAGACCUGCAUCUUGCGCAUGGUAAAUUUAUAUGAAAAUUAUUUAAGAAAUAUUGUAUGAAAAAAAUUUUAUGUUAUCGAUCGAAUUAAUAUAUUUAACUCUUAAACAAUUUUUUUAAUUUUUUUUUGUUAAUUACAUAAUUUGUUUACUAAUGAACUGAACUUAUUUUUAAAAAUAUUUUAGGUCAAAAAAUUAUUUAUCGCAUAAAAACUUAACGUUUAGGCUGAAGAAUCUCAUGCCUACUAUUUGGUUACAAUGAAACUAUGUUAGCUCGGUUUUAUAUCAUGAUUUAGUAAUUCAAAAUUUAAUUAUGGUUAUGAGAAGUUUACGUUCACGUACCAAUCCUAUAUAUCUAUAGAGAUGUCAACUUAAGUAUUGGACCGCGGGCCUGGCUUGUACGGGCUUGGUCUGGGGCGGGUUUGGGCCGAGAUAAUCAUAACCCGCAAAUUAGCGGGCCUUUUGGGUGUGGGCUUGCGCGGUGCCUGGUUUAUUGCGGGACGGCCCAUAUCACCCGCGGGAAAGCUCAUUGGGACCGCAUCUAGACGCUUCUUCGACUUCCUCACCUGAAUCAAAACAAGAUAGAGAGAGUGAAAAGCGAUGGAGCUUCGUCGAUGAUGGUGUGACGAACUGGAGCUCCGGCGAAGGCCGUUCGAUGUCCGAUCGGCGAGGCGGCGUCAGUGCUUCUGGUGACCGAAUCGCGUUCGAGCUGCAGCAGAGGAGCUUCUCUUCCUCGUCGUUCCAUCACCGGAGCUGUUCAUCUUCCUCGUUCCAUCACCAGGGCUUCUCUUCUUCAUUGAUCUACCACUGCAUGCCAUAGAUUAUCACCGAGCUACCACCGGAUCUUCUCUUCUUCACUGAGGCACCACCGAAUCUACUCCUCUGCAUCGAGCCACCACCGUAGCUUAUCUUCUUCAACGAGCCACCACCAUAGCUUCUCUUCUUCACGGAGCCACCACCGGAGGUUCUCUGCUUCACGGAGCCACCACCGGAGCUUCUCUUCUUCACUGAGCCACCACCGGAGCUACUCCUCUGCGUCGAGCCGUAGCUUCUCUUCUUCACCGAGCUACAACCGUAGCUUCUCUUCUUCACCGAGCCACCACCGGAGGUUCUCUGCUUCACGGAGCCACCACCAGAGCUUGUCUUCUUCACUGAGCCACCACCGGAGCUACUCCUCUGCGUAGAGCCAUAGAUUCUCUUCUUCACCGAGCCACAACCGUAGCUUCUCUUCUUCACCGAGCCACCACCGGAGGUUCUCUGCUUCACGGAGCCACCACCAGAGCUUGUCUUCUUCACUGAGCCACCACCGGAGCUACUCCUCUGCGUCGAGCCGUAGCUUCUCUUCUUCACCGAGCCACGUAAAAAGUUUGAUGGGGAACAAAGCGGGAACUCUUGAAGAUAUUGUGGACGCAUACUUGGCAUAUGGAGUGAUGUCUCGAUAUAACAGCCAAAGGACCUCGGAAGCAAAAGUAGCUUGAAGCAGCUAGUAUGGUGUUUUCUGUGACAUCCCGCGGGAUAGCCCGCGAAGGCUUACACAUUUUGCGGUAGGAGAUUGGGUAGCCAGUUUCAGGACCGCGUCCCGCGCGGGACGGUCCUGCCGUGUACUGCCAGAAGAGAAACCCGCAGCGGGUCGGGACGGGACGGGACGGGAGAGCCCAGUUGCCAUCCCUAUCUAUCUUUGAUAGUUUUCUCUUUUUUGUGUCAUUUUGGUUAUUGCUUGAUAUAAAUAUUGAUUUUUGAGUUUAUUCUCAUUUCUUUCUUUUAUUUUGGCCAGAGAUUUAGAAAAUGUUUAAAAUUCAAAAUUAUUAAAGAGAUAUAUAUUUAGGUUAA
Brassica napus (rape) is the source of this 2191-nucleotide long non-coding RNA. RefSeq lists it as uncharacterized. NCBI's taxonomy places the organism in Eukaryota, Viridiplantae, Streptophyta, Magnoliopsida, Brassicales, Brassicaceae. The record is from RefSeq and is a predicted model, not a curated record. The transcript is spliced from 4 exons.